AUGGACGCCUGGAAGUCGUCAAGUAUCUACUAGAUCUCCAACCCUACACAGUUUCCGUGAAGAACAAAGAUGGGAGAACUCCUCUUGGUGAAGCAGUGUACUGGGGGAAAGCAGGUUGUGUACCCUACUUGCUGGAAGUCACCUGGACCAAGCUUGCAUAUGAUGAGGCAAAGGAGAUUGUGGAGGAAGCCAGAAGGAUAGCUCAAACCCGC
This is a long non-coding RNA of Sycon ciliatum, 212 nucleotides long. RefSeq lists it as uncharacterized. The transcript has 3 exons. Lineage: Eukaryota; Metazoa; Porifera; Calcarea; Leucosolenida; Sycettidae. The record is from RefSeq and is a predicted model, not a curated record.